AUGGGCCCUGUCCCCAGCCAGGGACAUCACAAGGACCAUGACCCAGGCCCUCAGAAGCAGGAUAGACCCUGUCCCCAGCCAGGGACAUCACAAGGACCAUGACCCAGGCCCUCAGAAGAAGGGUAGGCCCUGUCCCCGUCCUUCGUUUAAAUGGAGCUGUGUGUGGAAGGCCCUGUGCCUUAAGUACCUUGAUUGCUUCCACAUGAGGUGCUAGCUUUGUUCUCCCAAAACAGGAUGGAAUAUCUGCAUUGUGGAGGCACGAACAAACCGCAGAGUUUACCUGCCAGCAGAGCUGCUGCGUCUGACCAAGGCCACACUUGGGGCUGCUCCCAGAG
Molecule: long non-coding RNA, 335 nt
Filed under: Cyanistes caeruleus (blue tit)
Lineage: Eukaryota; Metazoa; Chordata; Aves; Passeriformes; Paridae
Description: lncRNA (ENSCCEG00000013689.1)
Source: RNAcentral